CCUACGGGUGGCAGCAGUGGGGAAUAUUGCACAAUGGGGGAAACCCUGAUGCAGCGACGCCGCGUGAGUGAAGAAGUAUUUCGGUAUGUAAAGCUCUAUCAGCAGGGAAGAAAAUGACGGUACCUGACUAAGAAGCCCCGGCUAACUACGUGCCAGCAGCCGCGGUAAUACGUAGGGGGCAAGCGUUAUCCGGAUUUACUGGGUGUAAAGGGAGCGUAGACGGUGAUGCAAGUCUGAAGUGAAAGCCCGGGGCGGAACCCCGGGACUGCUUUUGAAACUGUGUGACUGGAGUGCAGGAGAGGCAAGCGGAAUUCCUGGUGUAGCGGUGAAAUGCGUAGAUAUCAGGAGGAACACCAGUGGCGAAGGCGGCUUGCUGGACUGUAACUGACGUUGAGGCGCGAAAGCGUGGGGAGCAAACAGGAUUAGAUACCCCUGUAGUC
RNAcentral lists this ribosomal RNA (440 nucleotides) under uncultured bacterium. Its description in RNAcentral is "partial 16S ribosomal RNA". It matches the Rfam family "Bacterial small subunit ribosomal RNA", at positions 338 to 795 of the family's 1533-position model. The record is from RNAcentral.